This 65-nucleotide transfer RNA is filed under the name Dipodomys ordii (Ord's kangaroo rat). It matches the Rfam family "tRNA". Rfam says of the family: Transfer RNA (tRNA) molecules are approximately 80 nucleotides in length. Their secondary structure includes four short double-helical elements and three loops (D, anti-codon, and T loops). Lineage: Eukaryota; Metazoa; Chordata; Mammalia; Rodentia; Heteromyidae. The record is from Rfam by way of RNAcentral.
GGUGGCUCAGUGGUGGAGCACUUGCCUUGCAUGCAUGAGGCCUUGGGUUCGAUUCCUCAGCACCA